Capsicum annuum is the source of this 1281-nucleotide long non-coding RNA. RefSeq lists it as uncharacterized. Lineage: Eukaryota; Viridiplantae; Streptophyta; Magnoliopsida; Solanales; Solanaceae. The transcript has 5 exons. The record is from RefSeq and is a predicted model, not a curated record.
AUAAUAACAUUCGACUGAAAUUUACCCCAUAGCUAGGGCUUAUUCUCAAUAUUACAUUUUCAGUUACUUUUCCAAGGUGCCAAAAAUAGGGAACUUGAGCUCCUCUAUUAGUUCUAUUAGAUGAUAAUAACUUUAGCCUCUUUUUUCUACAGCGCGCUUACUCAUCGAUUCAACGCCUUUUUGCUCUAGGGUUUAUUUUUCGAAGAGGUUCAUUCUUGAAGAGCCGAAAGAGUUGGGAAGGAACUUCUUGCAACAGAUAAUUCCCAUGCUAGAAGUGAUCAAGAUUCUUCAGGAAACAAGCUUCCCCAAGAUGUUGGUUUGUAGGUAUCCCAUAAAAUCAGGGGUGACUUGGCUGCUAGAUAUCAUACCACUAGGCAUAAAUCUUAGUUCUUAGCUGCUCUAGAUUGAGUGGCUUCCAGUUCACUACCUUGGUUUUGGGAUCUAGGUUGAGAAUGCAACUCAUGUUCUUAAAAGAUUGAUGUUCUUUCAUACAGGAUGGUUCAGCUAAAGCAGAUAAAUAUGAGGUUGGUUCUUUGGUCUAAAGUGGCAUGCUCUUCAGGAAUAUAUGUUGUAUAUAGAGUUUAUAUGUAACUGAGUGUAUGAUUUCACUUGGCAGAAUAUGUGGGAUCUUACACCAGAUACUAAUUUGUUAAAGGAACUGCCUAAAGAGUAUACAUUUGAAACCGCACUGGCAGAUUUGAUUGCAGGCAUCUUUUGAAUAUAAUCUUUUAUUCUAUAACAUUCUAUAUUUAUGUUGAUCACUUUAAGCAUUAACAUCAUUUCAAUUGUGUAUCAGGAUAACUCAUUGCAGGAUGUAUGGUCUAAUCAUGCAGACCAGAAAAGAUUAAUAAGAUCAAAGAUUUAUGUAAGAUCAUCCCACGACAAAUAAAGGCUGAAAAUGCAGUUUCUGUAAUCAGACAAACAAUUGAAAAACUCAUUGCAAAGUGCAAAGAGAUUGUAGAAUCUAAGGGUGAGAGAAUUAAUGAGGAUGAGUACGUGAAUGACAGAGAUCCAAGCAUUCUUCGGUUUUUGCUUGCUAGCCGUGAAGAGGUAUAAAAUUGAGAGUUGAAUGAAGACUAACUGCAAGCUCAACAAAUUGUUGGUACUUUGGAAGAAAUCUCUACAUAUCUAUCUUAGUCUAGGAUACGAGUAAUAUUUAAUACUUUGCCAAGGUGAUAUUACCUUAAUAUAAUUUUAGUUUUCUUAAUUUGUAUGAUUGUGGAUGAUUUUAUCAUUAUCUGGCAUGUUUUAUAAUUUUAUUUUCAAUUUAUUAAAUUCUAA